AGCAGCCGCGGUAAUUCCAGCUCCAAUAGCGUAUAUUAAAGUUGUUGCAGUUAAAAAGCUCGUAGUUGAAUUUCGGGAUCAAUUAAUCGGUCGUGCCUCUGGUACGCACUGGUUUUAUUGGUUUCUCCCUUCUGACGAACCAGGAUGUCAUUAAUUUGGUGUCUUGGAGAAUCAGGACUGUUACUUUGAAAAAUUAGAGUGUUUAAAGCAGGCUAACGCUUGAAUACAUUAGCAUGGAAUAAUGAAAUAGGACGUUUGAUCCUAUUUUGUUGGUUUCUAGGAUCGACGUAAUGAUUAAUAGGGAUAGUUGGGGGCAUUAGUAUUCAAUUGUCAGAGGUGAAAUUCUUGGAUUUAUUGAAGACUAACUACUGCGAAAGCAUUUGCCAAGGAUGUUUUCAUUAAUCAAGAACGAAAGUUAGGGGAUCGAAGACGAUCAGAUACCGUCGUAGUCUUAACCAUAAACUAUGCCGACUAGGGAUCGGAUGAUGUUAAUUUUUUAAUGACUCAUUCGGCGCCUUAC
This 520-nucleotide unclassified non-coding RNA is filed under the name uncultured Glomus. RNAcentral describes it as "SSU rRNA". It matches the Rfam family "Eukaryotic small subunit ribosomal RNA", at positions 569 to 1091 of the family's 1831-position model. The record is from RNAcentral. Lineage: Eukaryota; Fungi; Glomeromycota; Glomeromycetes; Glomerales; Glomeraceae.